GGAAACUGGUCUUGGCAGAGGUUUGCACUCUCCGAGUGUUUCUAGUUUUUUAAUGUUUCACUCGGAUGAAGAGAUUCUCACAGUCCUUCACUUCUCAUCUGGAGGUUGAACACUGAACCCAUGUUGCUGUGCAGAGGAUGGUGGUUCCCAUCAUGAGAUGCAUCAUUAAGGCAACAUGCAGAGAAACAGAAGUGCCAGUAAAGGCAGCAGAGUGAAGAAAGAACAAGAGCCUCCCCUUCAAUUUGCUCAGCAGGUCUAAAAUACUUGUUUACAAGCUCCUGCUGGAAAAUGAUGUCUUCUGUAGGGAUUUAUUAUUGAUGGAGCUCAGUGAGCGGCUCUGCAGCUGUAUACUCACUGAGCCUCGGACCAACCAACAGCAUGUGACCAGCUGCCAGUAAGAAUGUGUUGGACAUCUAAACACCAAUUAGAAACGGAUCGUUUUCAGUCAGGACUGAAGGUAACACAUCGUACCUGAUCAGAUGAGAGGAAAAGGUGAAGAUGGACAGAACAUUUUCUCUCCGUGUUGCCAGGAGCCACGCUGUGAUUGACAGCUUCACGGUGACCUGUGCAAUUGACAGAUUUAAAGAAGGUGAGGAGAGUGACUGCACCCAUCAUCACAGGGUUGCAGUCGAGCGAGAGGAAUGUUUUUUCAAUUUCAGCUCUUUUCUUCCAUUCACCCGGCUCUUGAGGACCCCCUCUGCCCCCAUUUAUCCAUCCAAGUCUCAACUCUAUUCAUUCUCUCUGCUCUCUUUCUCUUUAACCUCCACCCGGCUGCUUCUGCUUUCAUCUUCUCCUCAGUCUAACUCGGACUUGACUUCUCUGCCUAUUUAUCCCCCACCUUCAGUCCAUCUACCAUCUCUUCUGUCCUCUCAUCUGCCGCCUUUCAUCUUCAUCUCUCCUUCUUUUCCUUUCCUUUUCUCCUCACGUUUCGUCUCUUCUCAAAAGAUUUCCUUUUCGGAGUCCUUUACUUCCA
Molecule: long non-coding RNA, 973 nt
Organism: Austrofundulus limnaeus
Lineage: Eukaryota; Metazoa; Chordata; Actinopteri; Cyprinodontiformes; Rivulidae
Exons: 3
Source: RefSeq, a predicted model, not a curated record